Molecule: ribosomal RNA, 465 nt
Filed under: uncultured bacterium
Lineage: Bacteria
Description: partial 16S ribosomal RNA
Rfam family: Bacterial small subunit ribosomal RNA
Source: RNAcentral
CCUACGGGGUGCAGCAGUAGGGAAUCUUCCACAAUGGGCGAAAGCCUGAUGGAGCAACGCCGCGUGGGUGAAGAAGGUCUUCGGAUCGUAAAACCCUGUUGUUAGAGAAGAAAGUGCGUGAGAGUAACUGUUCACGUUUCGACGGUAUCUAACCAGAAAGCCACGGCUAACUACGUGCCAGCAGCCGCGGUAAUACGUAGGUGGCAAGCGUUAUCCGGAUUUAUUGGGCGUAAAGGGAACGCAGGCGGUCUUUUAAGUCUGAUGUGAAAGGCUUUGGCUGAACCGGAGUUGGGUAUUUGAAAACGGGGGACUUGAGUGCCAGAGAAGAGGGUGGAACUCCAUGUGUAGCGGUGAAAUGCGUAGAUAUAUGGAAGAACACCAGUGGCGAAAGCGGCUCUCUGGUCUGUAACUGACGCUGAGGUUCGAAAGCGUGGGUAGCAAACAGGAUUAGAUACCCGAGUAGUC